UACCUGGAUGAUCCUGCCAGUAGUCAUAUGCUUGUCUCAAAUAAUAAUCCAUGCAUGUGUAAUUAUGAACAAAGUGAGACUUUGAAACUCUAAAUGGCUCAUUAAAUCAGUUAUUGUUUGUUUGAUGGUAUCUACUAAUUAGAUAACCAUAGUAAGUAUAGGACUAAUACGGGCAAUAUACCCCAUCUUCUGGAAGGGAUGUAUUUGUUAGAUAAAAGGUCGACGCAGGCUCUUCCUAUUGCUACAAUGUUACAUGAUAACUCAACGGAUCAUAUGUCCAUCGUACCGGGGAUGCAUCAUUUAAAUUUCUGUCCAAUCGACUUUCGAUGAUAGGAUAGUGGACAACCAUUUUGGUGAUGGGUGAUAAAGAAUUAGGGUUUAAUUUUGGAAAAAAAGCCUAAGAAACAACUACCACAUCCAAGGAAAGUAGCAGGCGUACAAAUUACCCAAUCAUGACACGGGGAGGUAGUAAUAAUAAAUAACAAUAUUGGGCUCAAUGAGUCUAGUAAUUUAAAAGAGUACAACAUAAAUUCCUUAAUGAAGAUCCAUUGGAUGGAACGUCUGGUGCUAGAAUCUAUGGUAAUUCCAUCUCCAACAGCGUAUAUUUAAGUAUUGCAGUUAAAAAGUUCAUACUUAUACUUUGGGAUGGGCCAACCGGUCCUCCUAUGGUGUUCACCGCUCAUCUCAUCCCUUCUUUUAGCGAUGCACUACUGGGCUUAACUGGACGAAUUGUGCCUCCAACGCUAUUAUAUUGAAGAAAUUACACUGCUCAAAGAAAGCCUACGCUCUAAAUAGAUUAGCAUGGGAUAACAUCAUAGGAUUUAGGUCCUAGUAUAUUUUCCUUCGUGAUUCGAGAAAUGAUUAACAGGGACAAUGGCAGGCAAUCUUAUUUCAUAGUCAGAGGAAAUUACACGGGCAAACAACUUCUAAAGCAUUUGCCAAGGAUAUUUUCAUUAAUCAAGAGCAAAAGUUAGGGGCUUGAAGAUGAUCAGAUACCGUCCUAGUGUCAACAAUAAAUGAUGUUGACUAGGGAUCGGCAGAUGUUGCUUUUAGGACUUUGUCGACACCAUAUGAGAAAUCAAAGUUUUUGGGUUUUAGGGGCUAGGGGAUUAUGGUCGCAAUGCUGAAACAUAAAGAAAUUGACAGAAGGGCACCACUACGAGUGGAGCCUGCAGCAUAAUUUGACUCAGCACAGGGAAACUUACCAUGUCUAGAAAUAGUAAGGAUUAAGAAACUGAGAGCUCUUUUCUGAUACUAUGGUUUGUCGUGCAUGGACGUUCUUAAUUGGUUUAGCAAUUUGUCUGGUUAAUUUUGUUAAGGAAAAAGACCUUAGACUACUAACUAGCUAUUGUAGGUAUCCCUUUAGGGCUAGCUUUUUAGAGGGACUUUGACCUUUUAGGCCACAGAAGUUUCAGGUAAUAGUAGGUAUGUGAUACCCUCAGAUGUUUUGGACCGCAUACGCACUACAUAGAUGUAUUCGAUGAGUUUAUAUCCUUGGCCAAUAGGCCUAGGUAAUCUUAUAAAUUUCACUGUGAUAGGGAUAGAUCAUUGUAAUUGUUUGUCUUCAACAAGGAAUUCCUAUUAAGCGCGAGUCAUCACCUCGUGUUGACUAUGUCCCUACCCUUUGCACACACCGCUUAUCGCUCAUACCAAUUGAAUAAUCCGGUGCAAUAUUUGGAUCAUGGCAACAUAGGCGGUUCGCUGCUCGGGACAUCGCAAGAAGUCCAUUGAGCCUUAUAAUUUAGUGGAAGAAGAAGUUGUAAUAAGGUUUUUUUAGGUGAAUCUGCAGAAUGAUUAUUG
Molecule: non-coding RNA, 1800 nt
Organism: Capsicum annuum
Lineage: Eukaryota; Viridiplantae; Streptophyta; Magnoliopsida; Solanales; Solanaceae
Source: Rfam